AACGGUCUAUACCUGCGGUACCUGCGGAGGGAUCAUUACAGAGUUAGGGUCUGUUAUAGGCCUGAACCUCCAACCCCCUUGGUGUCUACUACCCUGUUGCUUCGGCAGAACUAAUGUGCCUGCCGAAGCCUUACAUAUAACAGUCUAGUUAAGAAUUCUUGGUCUGAUCCUACUGAAAAACAUAGAAUUGUUAAAACUUUCAACAAUGGAUCUCU
This 215-nucleotide unclassified non-coding RNA is filed under the name soil metagenome. RNAcentral describes it as "partial contains 5.8S ribosomal RNA, internal transcribed spacer 2, and large subunit ribosomal RNA". The record is from RNAcentral.